RNAcentral lists this ribosomal RNA (253 nucleotides) under uncultured bacterium. RNAcentral describes it as "partial 16S ribosomal RNA". It matches the Rfam family "Bacterial small subunit ribosomal RNA", at positions 524 to 776 of the family's 1533-position model. The record is from RNAcentral.
CACGGAGGGGGCUAGCGUUGUUCGGAAUGACUGGGCGUAAAGCGCGCGUAGGCGGUUCGGUAAGUUGGAUGUGAAAGCCCGGGGCUCAACUCCGGAUGGGCGUUCAAGACUGCCGAACUUGAGACCGAGAGAGGAGAGUGGAAGUCCCAGUGUAGAGGUGAAAUUCGUAGAUAUUGGGAAGAACACCAGUGGCGAAGGCGGGUCUCUGGCUCGGUUCUGACGCUGAGGUGCGAAAGCGUGGGGAGCAAACAGG